Molecule: ribosomal RNA, 495 nt
Filed under: uncultured bacterium
Lineage: Bacteria
Description: partial 16S ribosomal RNA
Rfam family: Bacterial small subunit ribosomal RNA
Source: RNAcentral
UGAACGCUGGCGGCGUGCCUAAUACAUGCAAGUCGAGCGAACAGACGAGGAGCUUGCUCCUCUGACGUUAGCGGCGGACGGGUGAGUAACACGUGGAUAACCUACCUAUAAGACUGGGAUAACUUCGGGAAACCGGAGCUAAUACCGGAUAAUAUAUUGAACCGCAUGGUUCAAUAGUGAAAGACGGUUUUGCUGUCACUUAUAGAUGGAUCCGCGCCGCAUUAGCUAGUUGGUAAGGUAACGGCUUACCAAGGCAACGAUGCGUAGCCGACCUGAGAGGGUGAUCGGCCACACUGGAACUGAGACACGGUCCAGACUCCUACGGGAGGCAGCAGUAGCGAAUCUUCCGCAAUGGGCGAAAGCCUGACGGAGCAACGCCGCGUGAGUGAUGAAGGUCUUCGGAUCGUAAAACUCUGUUAUUAGGGAAGAACAAAUGUGUAAGUAACUAUGCACGUCUUGACGGUACCUAAUCAGAAAGCCACGGCUAACUACGUG